UAGGGAAUAUUGCGCAAUGGACGCAAGUCUGACGCAGCAACGCCGCGUGGGUGAUGACGCUUCUUGGAGUGUAAAACCCUGUCAGUGGGGAAGAAACGUAUCGGUAGUAACUGACCGGUACUUGACGGUACCUACAGAGGAAGUCCCGGCUAACUCCGUGCCAGCAGCCGCGGUAAUACGGGGGGGACUAGCGUUGUUCGGAUUUACUGGGCGUAAAGGGCGCGUAGGCGGACUUUCAAGUCGGGUGUGAAAGCCUUGAGCUCAACUCAGGGCUUGCAUUCGAUACUGUUGGUCUUGAGUACAGGAGAGGAAAGUGGAAUUCCAGGUGUAGCGGUGAAAUGCGUAGGUAUCUGGAAGAACACCAGUAGCGAAGGCGGCUUUCUGGACUGAUACUGACGCUAAAGCGCGAAGGCUUGGGGAGCAAACAG
This 428-nucleotide ribosomal RNA is filed under the name uncultured bacterium. RNAcentral describes it as "bacterial SSU rRNA". It matches the Rfam family "Bacterial small subunit ribosomal RNA", at positions 355 to 775 of the family's 1533-position model. The record is from RNAcentral.